AUGGGAGGUGGCCACACUAUGUCCCCUGUAGCUGUGAAGUAUGAAGGAGAUGGCCAAGGUACGCUUCUACCAAAGCUGGUAGAGGGAGGUGUUCUUGCAGGGUACAGGAUCAACUCAGCAAAUCUCAUGCCCUUGCUCACACUAGCAGACCACAUACCUAGAGAAGAAACUUACCUUGCAGACCACAGAAGUUUUUAUCCUCCUCCAGGGUCUCAGAGAUCCUCAAUCUUCUGGCCACAUUUCAGUUCUCAAAGGACAAACUAUUACAACACUGUGCUGCGAGGUCUACCUGAAAAAAGAAUAAUUUUCCUCAAUUCUCACUAUUUGAGAUGUAGAAGUCUGUUCUGUUUACUGUCACUGAAUGUCACACGGAGAACAACUGAACACUGAGCAAUUUGGAAAAGAGUAAUUUCUUUCUUAGGUGAAAAGGUGACUUGAAAAACCUGCUUGCUAUCAGCACAACCGCUCACCAGCUCCCUGGAAGGCUCCUUGCUCCGACAGUACACUGCGUUGUGCCAAGGAAGGAAUAAGCCAAAUGCUUCAGACUACCACACUUCACACUCUUGGGCACCACGGGAGAGUGGGAGAGAGUGUGGCACUUUGCUUCUCAGAUUCACGCUGAUGCAAAACUCUGAAGUUUUUAGCCAGUAGUACUCCAGUACUCCCCUCAAGCUCACCAGACUGUUGCAGCUCCUUAAGCAGCAACAGAAUGUAGUAUCACACUGCUUGACAUUGUUGCCCUACCAGAAUCAGCUCUCUUACAGCUGCCUUAGCCCCUUUCCUUCUCGCUUUACUCAUUUUAAAGCUAUCAACUGUAUCUCACUUCUCUCUUUCUCUUCAGAACAACAGGCACAUGGCCUUUCUGCCCUUACUUCAUGUGCUGCAGUGAAGACCCAAUUAAAAGUCUAAUUUUAAUGUUGUUUUAACCAUCACUGCACUUGUGAGACAAUGGCAAGAGACUGUAACAAGGAUGGACAAAAGACACACAAACUCAUAAGAAAAACUAAUGAUGAAUCAUUGUUUGAAGGGUGAGUCAUGCUUGAGUG
This 1046-nucleotide long non-coding RNA is filed under the name Coturnix japonica (Japanese quail). Its description in RNAcentral is "lncRNA (ENSCJPG00005001280.1)". The record is from RNAcentral. Lineage: Eukaryota; Metazoa; Chordata; Aves; Galliformes; Phasianidae.